This 373-nucleotide ribosomal RNA is filed under the name uncultured organism. Its description in RNAcentral is "bacterial SSU rRNA". It matches the Rfam family "Bacterial small subunit ribosomal RNA", at positions 526 to 896 of the family's 1533-position model. The record is from RNAcentral.
CAUAGGGUGCGAGCGUUAAUCGGAAUUACUGGGCGUAAAGCGUGCGCAGGCGGUUUUGUAAGACAGGCGUGAAAUCCCCGGGCUCAACCUGGGAACUGCGUUUGUGACUGCAAGGCUAGAGUAUGGCAGAGGGGGGUGGAAUUCCACGUGUAGCAGUGAAAUGCGUAGAGAUGUGGAGGAACACCGAUGGCGAAGGCAGCCCCCUGGGCCAAUACUGACGCUCAUGCACGAAAGCGUGGGUAGCAAACAGGAUUGGAUACCCUGGUAGUCCACGCCCUAAACGAUGUCAACUAGGUGUUGGGUGGGUAAAACCAUUUAGUACCGGAGCUAACGCGUGAAGUUGACCGCCUGGGGAGUACGGCCGCAAAGGUUA